This is a long non-coding RNA of Pseudopipra pipra, 624 nucleotides long. RefSeq lists it as uncharacterized. The transcript is spliced from 3 exons. Lineage: Eukaryota; Metazoa; Chordata; Aves; Passeriformes; Pipridae. The record is from RefSeq and is a predicted model, not a curated record.
UGAGAGAUACAUUCACCGUCGAACAGAUAGAGAACUUCUCUUCGCUUUUAACAGUUUUGAAUCAUUUAGUUAAUGGCUGGUUAGUGGUUCAUGUAGCUUUAUGGCUUCUUGGCAGCUUCCUGAGAAGGUGGGAAUCCUUGGAUGGUGUUAUUGCACCAUGGUUACAUAGUAUAUGUGAUGUCAUCCUCUACCACAACAGUUGUUAGCAACCGUAUGGAAUUAAUCCAGCAGCCUGGGGAUUUCUGGAGAAGCUAUUCUAGUUUUGUCCUGGUGGAUACUGAAAAUAUUAAGGGAUAAAUAGGAUGAAGUUUGUGUUAAUGUCAUCUUUGCUCCACCCUGCAUGCUUCACGAUCUUUUGUCAUGCUACGUUCUGAGUUCAUGAUUAAUACCCAUCUUUCAUGCGAACUGUUACCCUGAAAAGCACUUCUGAAUGAUGCUCAGGUCCCUGGGAGCUUCCCCAUCCCAAGGUCUAUUUUCUCUGAUAUUUUCUAUCCUAUGGAAAUCAGAUGAUAGGCAGAACUACAGAUGGAAUUGAACUGAGUAAUGCUGGAAUUCAUUAUGCCAGACUUCUACCUAUGUUUUGCAUAUCUGAAAGCUGGUAAUGAUUUUUUUGUGGAUAAUUUA